RNAcentral lists this ribosomal RNA (255 nucleotides) under Triticum aestivum (bread wheat). Its description in RNAcentral is "partial small subunit ribosomal RNA". The record is from RNAcentral. Lineage: Eukaryota; Viridiplantae; Streptophyta; Magnoliopsida; Poales; Poaceae.
AUGCAGACCUUACUACACAUGCUGAAUUCUUCAUCAACAACCUCAAAGAGACAUGGACCCGUCACUACGAAAACUCAAAGGUCCAGAUCAGUCAUUUUCCAAUCGAGUAAGUCGCAACUACAAAGCAAGGAAAUCGGCAUGACUGCGGUUUUCACAUGUUGGAAUACCUUGCAAAGUGGGAAGGCCGACGGGUCCCUAUCGUCACAGCUGCAAUGGUCAUUGAGCUCCGCAAAAUAUACACAUGGAACUGGUUGA